GAUGAACGCUGGCGGCGUGCCUAAUACAUGCAAGUCGAGCGAACGGACGCGACGCUUGCUUUUCUGAUGUUAGCGGCGGACGGGUGAGUAACACGUGGAUACCCUACCUAUAAGACUGGGAUAACUUCGGGAAACCGGCGCUAAUACCGGAUAAUAUUUUGAACCGCAUGGUUCAAAAGUGAAAGACGGUCUUGCUGUCACUUCUAGAUGGUUCCGCGCUGCAUUAGCUAGUUGGUACGGUCACGGCUUACCACGGCAACGAUGCAUAGCCGACCUGAGAGGGGGAUAGGCCACACGGGAACUGAGACACGGUCCAGACGCCUACGGGAGGCAGCAGUAGGGAAUCUGACGCAAUGGGCGGAAGCCUGACGGAGCAACGCCGCGUGAGUGAUGAAGGUCUUCGGAUCGUAAAACUCGGUUAUUAGGGAAAAACAUAUGUGGAAGGAACUGUGCACAGCGUGACGGUACCGAAUCAGAAAGCCACGGCUAACUACGUG
Molecule: ribosomal RNA, 497 nt
Filed under: uncultured bacterium
Lineage: Bacteria
Description: partial 16S ribosomal RNA
Rfam family: Bacterial small subunit ribosomal RNA
Source: RNAcentral